RNAcentral lists this ribosomal RNA (497 nucleotides) under uncultured bacterium. Its description in RNAcentral is "partial 16S ribosomal RNA". It matches the Rfam family "Bacterial small subunit ribosomal RNA", at positions 28 to 507 of the family's 1533-position model. The record is from RNAcentral.
GAUGAACGCUGGCGGCGUGCCUAAUACAUGCAAGUCGAGCGAACGGACGAGAAGCUUGCUUCUCUGAUGUUAGCGGCGGACGGGUGAGUAACACGUGGAUAACCUACCUAUAAGACUGGGAUAACUUCGGGAAACCGUAGCUAAUACCGGCUAAUAUUUUGAACCGCAUGGUUCAAAAGUGAAAGACGGUCUUGCUGUCACUUAUAGAUGCAUCCGCGCUGCAUUAGCUAGUUGGUAAGGUAACGGCUUACCAAGGCAACGAUGCAUAGCAGACCUGAGAGGGUGAUCGGCCACACUGGAACUGAGACACGGUCCAGACUCCUACGGGAGGCAGCAGUAGGGAAUCGUACGCAAUGGGCGAAAGCCUGACGGAGCAACGCCGAGUGAGUGAUGAAGGUCUUCGGAUCGUAAAACUCUGUUAUUAGGGAAGAACAUAUGUGUAAGUAACUGUGCACAGCUUGACGGUACCUAAUCAGAAAGCCACGGCUAACUACGUG